Molecule: ribosomal RNA, 495 nt
Filed under: uncultured bacterium
Lineage: Bacteria
Description: partial 16S ribosomal RNA
Rfam family: Bacterial small subunit ribosomal RNA
Source: RNAcentral
GACGAACGCUGGCGGCGUGCCUAAUACAUGCAAGUAGAACGCUGAAGGAGGAGCUUGCUCUUCUGGAUGAGUUGCGAACGGGUGAGUAACGCGUAGGUAACCUGCCUGGUAGCGGGGGAUAACUAUUGGAAACGAUAGCUAAUACCGCAUAACAGUAGAUGUUGCAUGACAUUUACUUAAAAGGUGCAAUUGCAUCACUACCAGAUGGACCUGCGUUGUAUUAGCUAGUUGGUGGGGUAACGGCUCACCAAGGCGACGAUACAUAGCCGACCUGAGAGGGGGAUCGGCCACACUGGGACUGAGACACGGCCCAGACUCCUACGGGAGGCAGCAGUAGGGAAUCUUCGGCAAUGGACGGAAGUCUGACCGAGCAACGCCGCGUGAGUGAAGAAGGUUUUCGGACCGUAAAGCUCUGUUGUAAGAGAAGAACGAGUGUGAGAGUGGAAAGUUCACACUGUGACGGUAUCUUACCAGAAAGGGACGGCUAACUACGUG